GACGAACGCUGGCGGCGUGCUUAACACAUGCAAGUCGAACGGAAAGGCCCUGCUUUUGUGGGGUGCUCGAGUGGCGAACGGGUGAGUAACAUGUGAGUAACCUGCCCUUGAUUUUGGUAUAACUUCAGGAAACUGGGGCUAAUACCGGAUAUGAGCUCCUGCUGCAUGGAGGGGGUUGGAAAGUUUCGGCGGGGGGGGAUGGACUCGCGGCUGUUCAGCUUGUUGGUGGGGUAGUGGCUUACCAAGGCAUUGACGGGUAGCCGGCCUGAGAGGGUGACCGGCCACAUUGGGACUGAGAUACGGCCCAGACUCCUACGGGAGGCAGCAGUGGGGAAUAUUGCACAAUGGGCGAAAGCCUGAUGCAGCAACGCCGCGUGCGGGAUGAAGGCCUUCGGGUUGUAAACCGCUUUCGGCUGUGACGAAGCGUGAGUGACGGUAAUGGGUAAAGAAGCACCGGCUAACUACGUG
RNAcentral lists this ribosomal RNA (468 nucleotides) under uncultured bacterium. RNAcentral's name for it is "partial 16S ribosomal RNA". It matches the Rfam family "Bacterial small subunit ribosomal RNA", at positions 28 to 507 of the family's 1533-position model. The record is from RNAcentral.